RNAcentral lists this ribosomal RNA (253 nucleotides) under uncultured bacterium. RNAcentral's name for it is "partial 16S ribosomal RNA". It matches the Rfam family "Bacterial small subunit ribosomal RNA", at positions 524 to 776 of the family's 1533-position model. The record is from RNAcentral.
UACGGGGGGGGCAAGCGUUGUUCGGAAUUACUGGGCGUAAAGGGCUCGUAGGUUGCCAACUAAGUCAGACGUGAAAUCCCUCAGCUUAACUGGGGAACUGCGUCUGAUACUGGAUGGCUUGAGUUUGGGAGAGGGAUGCGGAAUUCCAGGUGUAGCGGUGAAAUGCGCAGAUAUCAGGAGGAACACCGGUGGCGAAGGCGGGUCUCUGGGCCGAUACUGACGCUGAGGAGCGAAAGCGUGGGGAGCGAACAGG